This 548-nucleotide ribosomal RNA is filed under the name Rhodochirus rosaceus. RNAcentral's name for it is "partial large subunit ribosomal RNA". It matches the Rfam family "Bacterial large subunit ribosomal RNA", at positions 1819 to 2625 of the family's 2925-position model. The record is from RNAcentral. Lineage: Eukaryota; Metazoa; Arthropoda; Malacostraca; Decapoda; Paguridae.
GUCUGUGUGAAGAUAUACACAGUUUAGCCUGCUCACUGGUAUAAACUAAAGAGCCGCAGUAUUUUGACUGUGCGAAGGUAGCAUAAUAAGUUGUCUUUUAAUUGGAGGCUUGAAUGAAUGGUUGGACAAAGUGUCUUCUGUUUCUUAAGUAAAUAUUGAAUUUGACUUUUAAGUGAAAAGGCUUAAAUAUUUCAAAAAGACGAUAAGACCCUAUAAAUCUUUACAAAAGAUGUAUUUUAGAUUUUAUAUUGGUUGUUGUUUAAAGAAUAAAUUGCAUUUUUGUUGCGCUGGGGCGGCGUAGAUAUAAAGAAAAUAACUGUUUAUAUUUUGUAAUCAAUAAUAUUUGUUUAUAAAGAAUUGAUCCUUUAAAAGAUUAAAAGAAUAAGAUACUUUAGGGAUAACAGCGUUAUUUUUUCUAAGAGUUCCUAUCGAAGAAAAAGUUUGCGACCUCGAUGUUGAAUUAAAGUUUCUUUAUGGUGCAGCAGCUAUAAAAGAAAGUCUGUUCGACUUUUAAUACUUUACAUGAUUUGAGUUCAGACCGGUGUGAG